This is a non-coding RNA of Hysterangium stoloniferum, 95 nucleotides long. NCBI's taxonomy places the organism in Eukaryota, Fungi, Basidiomycota, Agaricomycetes, Hysterangiales, Hysterangiaceae. The record is from the annotation of a GenBank genome assembly.
GCCUUGGUAGCUCAUUUGGUAGAGUGUAAGACUCUUACAGUCCCUCUGACUGGGUAAGAGUCUUAAGGUUGCAGGUUCAAUUCCUGUCUAAGGCU